This 69-nucleotide antisense RNA is filed under the name Streptomyces scopuliridis RB72. RNAcentral describes it as "ASpks TB sRNA". It matches the Rfam family "ASpks TB sRNA". The record is from Rfam by way of RNAcentral. Lineage: Bacteria; Bacillati; Actinomycetota; Actinomycetes; Kitasatosporales; Streptomycetaceae.
CUUCAACGACCCCAAGAACAGGGGCCGUUCACGAUCCUGCCCGUACGUCGCCAGCAACGCCUGCGCCUC